CUUGGUUCGUCGAAACGAUUAACGUAAUCAUUCCUUCCCAUCCAAAUCUGCGUCGGUGAUUACCCAUCUUCCAUGGCUCGCAGGAGGCGGAGUGGUAGCAAAGCGCAGUACAGUGCAGUACUAAGAUACUACACAAACCACACAAUAGAAGUACCACUAUUUGAAGCUCGGGCAGUGGGAAAAGUACACCUUUGUACUGCCCCGACACACUCGUUCUCGGGUUUAUAAAAGCAGAGCCGAUAAGAACGCAUCACAGGAGAGGGACAGAAAGAGACUAGAAAGAAAGAAGGGGCGCUGAGGAGGUAGCAGUAGCAGUGGAAGGGGCAUGCAGAGGAGAGGAGAGGAGAGGAGAGGAGGGAAGGCGAAAGAAAUCCUGUCUCCUGUGCCUGCCCCUCCCACCCCUGCUGUUACGACUCGCUUCUGCCGGUCACGGCAAUUCCUCCUCGACAUCUUAUCGACGAACGCUUAUAGCGAACGAAGGUAAGGGGGAAGGGGGGAAAGAGGUCGAUUGCCAUCUUGGAAUCGCUCCUCGCUCCUGGAUCUGAAUCUGGAUUUUGGCCUUACGAACGAACAGGUAGCAAUCUUUUGUACACGGACGGACAUAAAUGAAUUUGGGUUUCAUAGCAGGAAAUUGCGUGUAGGAUUCUUGAAGCGAAGACCUCGAUUGCCAGCGGUAAAUGAUUUGUGGGAGUCAGCUGCACGUUUGCUGUUCCCGGAGAAGCAAGCGUAUUUGGUAAUCUUAAUUUUUCUGUGUGUGUGUGUGUGUUGUGAGCAUUAUUAUGUUGCAACUUCUUGCUUAUUGGUCAGUGUGUGUCUCUCCACCAGACACCAGUUGCUUAUUUUGCUGCAACUUGGUUGAGAAAUAUUACAUUUUAUGGAGAUGUGCAUUGUUUGUCUAUCGCUAAGGUAAGUGUGAGGGAAAUUUGAAACAAAAAUAUGGCAGCAUUUUGUCUUGGUUUGUGCUG
Long non-coding RNA from Musa acuminata AAA Group (dessert banana), 965 nucleotides. RefSeq lists it as uncharacterized. NCBI's taxonomy places the organism in Eukaryota, Viridiplantae, Streptophyta, Magnoliopsida, Zingiberales, Musaceae. The record is from RefSeq and is a predicted model, not a curated record. The transcript has 2 exons.